This 69-nucleotide transfer RNA is filed under the name Schultesia lampyridiformis. Its description in RNAcentral is "tRNA-Gln". The record is from RNAcentral. Lineage: Eukaryota; Metazoa; Arthropoda; Insecta; Blattodea; Blaberidae.
CACAUUUAGGUGUAAAAAGCACAAUAAUUUUUGAUAUUCUUGGGAUUAGUUUGAUUCUAUUAAAUGUAA